AAACGACUCUCGGCAACGGAUAUCUCGGCUCUCGCAUCGAUGAAGAACGUAGCGAAAUGCGAUACUUGGUGUGAAUUGCAGAAUCCCGUGAACCAUCGAGUCUUUGAACGCAAGUUGCGCCCGAAGCCACUCGGCCGAGGGCACGUCUGCCUGGGCGUCACG
This 162-nucleotide ribosomal RNA is filed under the name Centella asiatica (Asiatic pennywort). RNAcentral describes it as "5.8S ribosomal RNA". It matches the Rfam family "5.8S ribosomal RNA". Rfam says of the family: 5.8S ribosomal RNA (5.8S rRNA) is a component of the large subunit of the eukaryotic ribosome. It is transcribed by RNA polymerase I as part of the 45S precursor that also contains 18S and 28S rRNA. Functionally, it is thought that 5.8S rRNA may be involved in ribosome translocation. The record is from RNAcentral. Lineage: Eukaryota; Viridiplantae; Streptophyta; Magnoliopsida; Apiales; Apiaceae.